AAAGAUUAAGCCAUGCAUGUCUAAGUACAAGCUCUCCGAGCGAAACUGCGGAUGGCUCAUUAAAUCAGUUAUGGUUCAUUGGAUCGAGUCCCCCGACAUGGAUAACUGUGGUAAUUCUAGAGCUAAUACAUGCGUCCAAGCGCCGACUCCCCAGAAGGCGUGCUUUUAUUAGGAACAAGACCAGCCCGGUUUCGGCCGGCACCACUGGUGAACUCUGGAUAACACAGCCGAUCGCACGGUCCUCGCACCGGCGACGGAUCCUUCGAAUGUCUGCCCUAUCAACUUUCGAUGGUACGUUAUGCGCCUACCAUGGUCGUCACGGGUAACGGAGAAUCAGGGUUCGAUUCCGGAGAGGGAGCCUGAGAAACGGCUACCACAUCCAAGGAAGGCAGCAGGCGCGCAAAUUACCCACUCCCGACACGGGGAGGUAGUGACGAAAAAUAACAAUACAGGACUCUUUCGAGGCCCUGUAAUUGGAAUGAGUACACUUUAAAUCCUUUAACGA
This 505-nucleotide ribosomal RNA is filed under the name Arbacia sp. RNAcentral describes it as "SSU rRNA". It matches the Rfam family "Eukaryotic small subunit ribosomal RNA", at positions 39 to 540 of the family's 1831-position model. Lineage: Eukaryota; Metazoa; Echinodermata; Echinoidea; Arbacioida; Arbaciidae. The record is from RNAcentral.